UCCGAAGUAGCUCAGUGGUAGAGCAGGCGGCUGUUAACCGCCUGGUCGUAGGUUCGAUCCCUACCUUCGGAGCCA
RNAcentral lists this transfer RNA (75 nucleotides) under Myxococcales bacterium. RNAcentral describes it as "tRNA-Asn". It matches the Rfam family "tRNA". From Rfam's summary of the family: Transfer RNA (tRNA) molecules are approximately 80 nucleotides in length. Their secondary structure includes four short double-helical elements and three loops (D, anti-codon, and T loops). Lineage: Bacteria; Pseudomonadati; Myxococcota; Myxococcia; Myxococcales. The record is from RNAcentral. RNAcentral also lists the same sequence under 1 other name.